AACCUGGUUGAUCUUGCCAGUAGUCAUAUGCUUGUCUCAAAGAUUAAGCCAUGCAAGUGAAAGUAUAUGCAUAUUUUAUAUGUAGAAACUGCGAACGGCUCAUUAAAACAGUUAUAAUCUACUUGACAUUUUUUCUAUAAGGAUAACUACGGAAAAGCUGUAGCUAAUACUUGCUUUAGCACUCUUGAUUCAUUUCUUGAGUGUGUACUUGUUAAGCCUUUUAAGAAAAAAGUUAUUAACUUAAGGAAUUAUAACAAAGAAGCGACACAUAAUGGAUCCGUCCAUUUUUAGUGUGUAUCAAUCGAGUUUCUGACCUAUCAGCUUUUGAUGUUAGGGUAUUGGCCUAACAUGGCUAUGACGGGUAACGGGGAAUUAGAGUUCGAUUCCGGAGAGGGAGCCUGAGAAAUAGCUACCACAUCUAAGGAAGGCAGCAGGCGCGUAAAUUACCCAAUUCUAAAGAAGAGAGGUAGUGACAAGAAAUAACAAUACAAGGCCAAUCUGGCUUUGUAAUUGGAAUGAUGGGAAUUUAAAACCUUCCCAAAACUCAAUUGGAGGGCAAGUCUGGUGCCAGCAGCCGCGGUAAUUCCAGCUCCAAUAGCGUAUAUUAAAAUUGUUGCAGUUAAAACGCUCGUAGUUGAAUUUCAAAGAAUCGAUAUUUUAAGCAACGCUUCUAGCUUAAUCCACAUAACUGAUACUUCGUAUCGACUUUGUGCGCAUUUUGCUAUUAUGUGUUCUUUUAAUUAAAAUGAUUCUUUUUAAGGACUUUCUGUGCUUCGGCUUGGAAGUCCUUGUUACUUUGAGUAAAUUAGAGUGUUCAAAGCAAACAGAUAUAGCAUUGCGCGUUUGAAUACUACAGCAUGGAAUAACAAAAUUGAACAAGUCAGAAUUUUGUUCUUUUUUCUUAUUUUGGCUUAGUUACGAUUAAUAGGAGUAGCUUGGGGGCAUUUGUAUUCAGAUGUCAGAGGUGAAAUUCUUAGAUUUUCUGGAGACAAACAACUGCGAAAGCAUUUGCCUAAAAUACUUCCAUUAAUCAAGAACGAAAGUUAAGGGAGUGAAGACGAUCAGAUACCGUCGUAAUCUUAACCAUAAACUAUGCCGACUAGGCUNNNNNNNNNNNNNNNNNNNNNNNNNNNNNNNNNNNNNNNNNNNNNNNNNNNNNNNNNNNNNNNNNNNNNNNNNNNNNNNNNNNNNNNNNNNNNNNNNNNNUCCAAUAGCGUAUAUUAAAAUUGUUGCAGUUAAAACGCUCGUAGUUGAAUUUCAAAGAAUCGAUAUUUUAAGCAACGCUUUUAGCUUAAUCCACAUAACUGAUACUUCGUAUCGACUUUGUGCGCAUUUUGCUAUUAUGUGUUCUUUUAAUUAAAAUGAUUCUUUUUAAGGACUUUCUUUGCUUCGGCUUGGAAGUCCUUGUUACUUUGAGUAAAUUAGAGUGUUCAAAGCAAACAGAUAUAGCAUUGCGCGUUUGAAUACUACAGCAUGGAAUAACAAAAUUGAACAAGUCAGAAUUUUGUUCUUUUUUCUUAUUUUGGCUUAGUUACGAUUAAUAGGAGUAGCUUGGGGGCAUUUGUAUUCAGAUGUCAGAGGUGAAAUUCUUAGAUUUUCUGGAGACAAACAACUGCGAAAGCAUUUGCCUAAAAUACUUCCAUUAAUCAAGAACGAAAGUUAAGGGAGUGAAGACGAUCAGAUACCGUCGUAAUCUUAACCAUAAACUAUGCCGACUAGGCUUUGGAUGAAAGAUUUUAAAAUAAGAGUUUUCUCUUCGGAGUUUACUCUUAGAUUGCUUCCUUCAGUGCCUUAUGAGAAAUCAAAGUCUUUGGGUUCUGGGGCGAGUAUUCGCGCAAGCGAGAAAGUUAAAAGAAUUGACGGAAGGGCACCACCAGGCGUGGAGCUUGCGGCUUAAUUUGACUCAACACGGGAAAACUCACUAGUUUAAGACAAGAGUAGGAUUGACAGAUUAAUAGCUCUUUCUUGAUUUCUUGGAUGGUGAUGCAUGGCCGUUUUUAGUUCGUGAAUAUGAUUUGUCUGGUUAAUUCCGAUAACGAACGAGAUCUUAACCUGCUAAUUAGCGGCAAAUACGAUAUAUUCUUACGUGGGACUGAAUUCGGUUGAUUUGCUUACUUCGAAGAAAAUAUUGGGAUACGUAACAGUUUCCCUUUCCCUUUUCUACUUAGUUCGCUUUUCAUACUGUUUCUUUUUCGCGUAAGAAUGUAUUUGCUUGAUUGUAAAGCUUCUUAGAGGAACGAUGUGUGUCUAACACAAGGAAGUUUAAGGCAACAACAGGUCUGUGAUGUCCUUAGAUGAACUAGGCUGCACGCGUGCUACACUGAUAUGUAUAACGAGUUAUUAAAAUUACGAUUCAGCUUGCUGUUUCGUAUUUUUCCUCCACUGAAAAGUGUAGGUAAUCUUUAUCAGUACAUAUCGUGAUGGGGAUAGAUUAUUGCAAUUAUUAAUCUUGAACGAGGAAUGCCUAGUAAGCAUGAUUCAUCAGAUUGUGCUGACUACGUCCCUGCCCUUUGUACACACCGCCCGUCGCUCCUACCGAUUGAAAGAUAUGAUGAAUUGUUUGGACAAGAAGAAGGGGGAUUAUAUCUCCUUUUUUCUGGAAAAACCGUAAAUCCUAUCUUUUAAAGGAAGGAGAAGUCGUAACAAGGUUUCCGUAGGUGAACCUGCGGAAGGAUCAUUA
This 2680-nucleotide ribosomal RNA is filed under the name Plasmodium vivax (malaria parasite P. vivax). It matches the Rfam family "Eukaryotic small subunit ribosomal RNA". The record is from RNAcentral. Lineage: Eukaryota; Apicomplexa; Aconoidasida; Haemosporida; Plasmodiidae.